AGAAUGGCAUCUGGCGUGCCAUGAAGUAGCAUCAUCGUUCGAAAGGCCUUCAGGUGGUCGACCGGGUCUAAGAUCCCGUCAUAGCUUUCGAAUUGGGGGAGCUUGAAGUUUGGUGGGAUCGAUUCCUGCAUGAUCAUUUGAGAGAAGGGAGGGUCAGUACAGAUAUCCUCACCAUAAGCAGGGGGAGCGUGGCGAAGUUCUUCAAUCCAUCGGUUCAUCUCUUGGCGCCUU
RNAcentral lists this long non-coding RNA (231 nucleotides) under Elaeis guineensis (African oil palm). Its description in RNAcentral is "long non-coding RNA (EGUI_LNC045123)". The record is from RNAcentral. Lineage: Eukaryota; Viridiplantae; Streptophyta; Magnoliopsida; Arecales; Arecaceae.